GAUGAACGCUAGCUACAGGCUUAACACAUGCAAGUCGCGGGGCAGCAUGGGGGUUGCUUGCAAUCCCCGAUGGCGACCGGCGCACGGGUGAGUAACGCGUAUCCAACCUGCCCUUCACCACGGGAUAACCCGGCGAAAGUCGGACUAAUACCGUAUGUUGUCCAUUGACGGCAUCCGAUUUGGACGAAAGGCUUGGCGGUGAGGGAUGGGGAUGCGUCCGAUUAGCCAGACGGCGGGGUAACGGCCCACCGUGGCUACGAUCGGUAGGGGUUCUGAGAGGAAGGUCCCCCACACUGGAACUGAGACACGGUCCAGACUCCUACGGGAGGCAGCAGUGAGGAAUAUUGGUCAAUGGGCGUAAGCCUGAACCAGCCAAGUAACGUGCAGGAUGACGGCCCUAUGGGUUGUAAACUGCUUUUAUGCGGGGAUAAAGUGGCCCACGUGUGGGCUUUUGCAGGUACCGCAUGAAUAAGGACCGGCUAAUUCCGUG
RNAcentral lists this ribosomal RNA (490 nucleotides) under uncultured bacterium. RNAcentral describes it as "partial 16S ribosomal RNA". It matches the Rfam family "Bacterial small subunit ribosomal RNA", at positions 28 to 507 of the family's 1533-position model. The record is from RNAcentral.